This is a small nuclear RNA of Rhinopithecus bieti (black snub-nosed monkey), 86 nucleotides long. The record is from Ensembl. NCBI's taxonomy places the organism in Eukaryota, Metazoa, Chordata, Mammalia, Primates, Cercopithecidae.
GUGCUCCCUUCAGCAGCACAUAUAUUAAAAUUGGAAGGAUACAGAGAAGAUUACCAUGGCCCCUGUGCAAGGAUGACAUGCAAAUU